AUGGGGGAUAGCAAAUCUGGAUGCCAACAACCAGAAAUACCAGUUGCACACCAAGAUCAUGAUGCACCUGAUCAAACACAUGCUCAAAGGCUGCAAAGCUCGUGGGAUGAAUAUUGCCCUGCACCUCCUUUCAGUAUAGGGCUUGAUGAAAUUUUUGGAUCAAGCAUGGUUGAAGAAUUGGCAAGGCCUACAGGGAUUUUUGACGACUGUUGCCAACCAAAUGGUUAUGAGUUGGGGUCUGUUGAUAUUCCGGGAACAAGCAUCGAUGAAGGUGUGUUGGAAGUUGAACUAUCAAAGCAAAUCAUCGGGGCAAGCAGUGGCAAUGUUGACAUGUGUCCUGAAGCAAAGGGGAAAACACCCGUGGUCAUCGAAAUCCCUGAUGAAGGUGUGUUGGAAGUUCAACUGUCACAGCAAAUCAACAGGGCAAGCACAAGCAUUGUUGACAUGUACCUGGAAGCAAAGGAAAAAACAUCCAUGGUCAUCGAAAUCCCUGAUGAUGAUUUGUUUUGGGACUUAGAAGAAAUUGACUUAGCGUGUGAAGAAGCAAAGAAAAAGGCUCAAGGCAGAAGGACACAGUAUAGCAUGGAGAACUUAUCACCUACCAACUUCCAAACGCCAGAGAAAACAAGUUGGAAGGAUGGAGAAGUUGGUUCCAGUAGCAGCUCAGGAGAAAUCACGAACAAAUUUGAGAGACGCAUCAUCAAGCCACCAGCAUGCAGAGGUCACCUUUUGCGGAUUACAACGAGAAUAGGCUUUCUCACUGCACCCCAGUAG
RNAcentral lists this ribosomal RNA (774 nucleotides) under Triticum aestivum (bread wheat). Its description in RNAcentral is "partial small subunit ribosomal RNA". Lineage: Eukaryota; Viridiplantae; Streptophyta; Magnoliopsida; Poales; Poaceae. The record is from RNAcentral.